This is a long non-coding RNA of Chiroxiphia lanceolata (lance-tailed manakin), 327 nucleotides long. RefSeq lists it as uncharacterized. The transcript has 3 exons. The record is from RefSeq and is a predicted model, not a curated record. Lineage: Eukaryota; Metazoa; Chordata; Aves; Passeriformes; Pipridae.
UAAUCCACCGUGGUUCUUUCUCCAGAUACUGCACUGCCUUAGUUUCAUCAGACCUGAGGAGAACCUGGAAUGUCAGUGUAGGAUGAAAAGUAGUGGCUAAAGGAACACACUUGGUGCCAUUCCUGGCUUUGAUAAAAGCCAUACAGCCAGCUCCAGACUCUUGAUGAGCUACAAGUCACUAUUCCAGAAAGGUGCAGCUGGUGAAGUGUUCACUGAAGCACAGCAGAAAAAUGAGUACUGCAGGAAUCUGACAGGAUAAUGCAGAGUUUUGGUGCAGUGAUUUGCAAAAUAGAUGGGACACUGGAAAUAAAUUUUUGGUCUAUCUGG